This 157-nucleotide ribosomal RNA is filed under the name uncultured Sordariomycetes. RNAcentral's name for it is "5.8S ribosomal RNA". It matches the Rfam family "5.8S ribosomal RNA". From Rfam's summary of the family: 5.8S ribosomal RNA (5.8S rRNA) is a component of the large subunit of the eukaryotic ribosome. It is transcribed by RNA polymerase I as part of the 45S precursor that also contains 18S and 28S rRNA. Functionally, it is thought that 5.8S rRNA may be involved in ribosome translocation. The record is from RNAcentral. Lineage: Eukaryota; Fungi; Ascomycota; Sordariomycetes.
AAACUUUCAACAACGGAUCUCUUGGUUCUGGCAUCGAUGAAGAACGCAGCGAAAUGCGAUAAGUAAUGUGAAUUGCAGAAUUCAGUGAAUCAUCGAAUCUUUGAACGCACAUUGCACCUACCAGUAUUCUGGUAGGUAUGCCUGUUCGAGCGUCAUU